RNAcentral lists this unclassified non-coding RNA (432 nucleotides) under Gynochthodes celebica. RNAcentral describes it as "partial external transcribed spacer". Lineage: Eukaryota; Viridiplantae; Streptophyta; Magnoliopsida; Gentianales; Rubiaceae. The record is from RNAcentral.
UGCAGGAUCAACCAGGUAGCAUUCCUCACGGACAUCGGGCCGCAAGACGUGUAUUGUCAGUGCAGCACCGAACGUCAUUCGAACGUGGCGUUGACGCCAUUUUGUGGGCAACCGGGGGUCGGGGACCCCAUACCGCUGCGUUUUCCACAUCCCGGAGGUCGAGCGGGAACCCAUGGGCCGCAACAACCGUGGCGUGCGCAGGCAUUGCGGAACACGGGUCUCGCAUCGGGGUUCUACCGUAGCCGCGCCGUGUGGACGGGCAGCGCUAGGCGAACGUUGAAAGGAUUAGCCGACACAAUUCCAUCACAUAGGCAUGCAAUACAGGAAACCGACAAUCGUGGCCAAGGCAACUCGCUCUUGUGCCAACCACUGAAGAGGAACGCACGAUAGGACGUCGCUGCCCAAGCAGGGAUCCAACCAACCCAUACAAGA